UGUCAUUUUGAAGUGUAUGUGAAGACGUAGUAGGUAGCGUUGAUCAUGGUAGCACUGGUUUUGAGGACUUUGGCGCCCAUCAGUUCUACUCCAUAUUUCCCAAUCGGUUUCACUAGCCUUGUAAAGUGUUCGUUUUAUUUCCAUGAAACGUGUGAUUUUUUGUUAAUAAUUUGAAUAUUAGCCGAAAUUGUUUAAUUUGUGUUGUUUUAUUCGUGCGUGUUGGAUCCAGAUUAGACAUGAGCCGAGAGUUUUAAGAAGGUUAGGUUCCCUCACUAGACUAACACUGUCGCACUCUGACGCCUCGGGAAGUGUGUACUUCUACCAUAAUGGACAGUACUUACCUGUCCUUUGCCAUCUGCUUAAGACUCGGUGAGUUAACCAUUUAAAUAUUUAAAUUAAGUAAUUGCAUAUGUUAUGUUGUCGUCAGACUAUGAAGGAAUUAUGAUGACAC
Molecule: long non-coding RNA, 451 nt
Organism: Cimex lectularius (bed bug)
Lineage: Eukaryota; Metazoa; Arthropoda; Insecta; Hemiptera; Cimicidae
Exons: 3
Source: RefSeq, a predicted model, not a curated record